Molecule: ribosomal RNA, 774 nt
Filed under: uncultured bacterium
Lineage: Bacteria
Description: bacterial SSU rRNA
Rfam family: Bacterial small subunit ribosomal RNA
Source: RNAcentral
AGAGUUUGAUCCUGGCUCAGAAUCAACGCUGGCGGCGUGCCUCAGACAUGCAAGUCGAACGAUUAAACUUUCCUUCGGGAAAGAUAUAAAGUGGCGUACGGGUGAGUAACACGUAAGUAAUCUACCUUUGAGUGGGGAAUAACAGUCGGAAACGACUGCUAAUACCGCAUAAUGCAGCGGCACCGCAAGGUGACAGUUGUUAAAGCAUUUAUGCGCUUAAAGAGGAGCUUGCGGCAGAUUAGCUAGUUGGUAAGGUAAUGGCUUACCAAGGCAACGAUCUGUAUCCGGUCUAAGAGGACGGUCGGACACACUGACACUGAAUAACGGGUCAGACUCCUACGGGAGGCAGCAGUCGGGAAUUUUGGGCAAUGGGCGAAAGCCUGACCCAGCAACGCCGCGUGAAGGAUGAAGUCUUUCGGGAUGUAAACUUCGUAAGAAUAGGAAGAAUAAAUGACGGUACUAUUUGUAAGGUCCGGCUAACUACGUGCCAGCAGCCGCGGUAAUACGUAGGGACCAAGCGUUGUUCGGAUUUACUGGGCGUAAAGGGCGCGUAGGCGGCGUGUUAAGUCAGCUGUGAAAUCUCCAAGCUUAACUUGGAACGGUCAGCUGAUACUGAUGUGCUAGAGUGCAGAAGGGGCAAUCGGAAUUCUUGGUGUAGCGGUGAAAUGCAGAUAUCAAGAGGAACACCUGAGGUGAAGACGGGUUGCUGGGCUGACACUGACGCUGAGGCGCGAAAGCUAGGGUAGCAAACGGGAUUAGAUACCCUAGUAGUCC